UAUGGUCAAAUUAUCCUGUAAACACUAGUUCUCAUUCAAUCACCAAAGUUAAGCAGCAUCGAGUCAAGUCAGUACUUAGAUAGGAGACCACUUGAGAAUACUAGUUACUGUAA
Acanthosepion pharaonis is the source of this 113-nucleotide non-coding RNA. NCBI's taxonomy places the organism in Eukaryota, Metazoa, Mollusca, Cephalopoda, Sepiida, Sepiidae. The record is from the annotation of a GenBank genome assembly.